GGACGAGGGUGCCUAAGUUAAGGCUUGAAGCCGCCUCCAAAGCACUUCGUCCUCUCUUCCCUCGUCCUCCCUCUCUUCUCUUACCUGCCAAUAGAAUCACCUUAUAACGAGUCAACAGAACAAGGAAGAGUGAGGCAAGCGAAGAGGGGAAGUGGAAGCGUAGAAGGCAAUGGUGGGCGCCUUGUCAUCGUCCUCCUCCUCGUGCGCCUCCUUCGGCUCCUUCGAGGAAGACGUCACCGCCGCCGCCAAGCCCUUCCCCGGCGCCGCCUCCGUCAAGUUCCUCUGCAGCUACGGCGGCAGGAUUCUCCCCCGCUACCCCGAUGGCAAGCUCCGCUACGUCGGCGGCGACACCCGCGUUCUCUCCGUCGACCGAUCUGUCCCCUUCUCAGAGUUGCGGGAGAAGAUGAGGGAGCUGUGCGGGUGGGGCGCGGUGAGCGUCCGGUGCCAGCUGCCGACGGAGGACCUCGACGCCCUCGUCUCCGUCAAGUCCGACGAGGACCUCACCAACGUGGUGGAGGAGUACGAUCUCGCCGGGCGCGAGAAGAUCAGGGCCUUUCUGUUCCCCCCCUCCAACAAAGGCGGCGGCGAGAGCCCUACCCAUCGGGCCACGCCGAUCUCGGUGGCGGUGCCCGCUGAGCGCUGCGUCCACCAGAUCUCCGCGCCGGCGAGGCCCGCCGGCCGGUUCGAGAAGCCCCCCGCCGCCGGGGAUCUUCGCCACCACGGCCACGGACACCACCACCACCUCCACGGCCGUCAUGCGGCCCCCAGGCCGUGCAACUACCUCGUGCACCACGGAAGCCACUGGCAAUGAUACAAUCACCACCACCACCAUCGCCAGUGUUUUUGGGCGAAGAACUCGAGGUUACUUUACGGCGGAGGGAACCCUUUUCUUCAGGGGACCGAAUAAUUUUUUAUCAGGAAAUACAAAGAAAAUCUAAUUAUUAUUAUUUUAUGAAGAUAAAAAUAUACAAAUUCUUCAUAUUUUAUUUUUUUUCUACAACAUUCUUACCCAAUUGGACCUCUUUUUUUUUGUGUUCAUCCUAAGGUAAGUUGAUGAAAC
Molecule: non-coding RNA, 1060 nt
Organism: Musa acuminata subsp. malaccensis (wild Malaysian banana)
Lineage: Eukaryota; Viridiplantae; Streptophyta; Magnoliopsida; Zingiberales; Musaceae
Source: RefSeq, a predicted model, not a curated record